CAGAGAUAGUGUUGAAGACCCCGUAGACUCAGAUACCCUGAAAUCUGAAUUUUGAAAGGAGGAGGUUUCUCUGUGAUCACAAAGCUAGAGCAAGAGAAGGGCAGCUUUCUAAACCACUCAGGAAGUGGCUUCUCAGAGAGGGUGGACCACCUGACUGAAAAAGGAAAUGUUCCCCCAGGCCUUCAGGCAGGAGGUAGAAGCCCUCAGGGACAGAGGGCAUCCUCAAACCACAGCCAUGGGAGUCUCUACUUGCUGGGCUUGGCAGGAACCACAGCCUCUGAGGACUGGAACAUCUAUAGAGCCCUCCAUAUACCUUUCAUCUGAAGCUUCUCAUGGGAGCCAGGGCCGAGGAAGCUCAGGACAGAAAGGAGAUCUAGGCAAGAAGACAUUCUACUGUGUAGAAGGAGACUGCCCCUUUGUCCCUCUAGGCUCUGGCGAGGGUGCAGGUGACAACUGAGCUGAAGAAAUGAUCCCCAGAGGAAUAGGAUUGUGGCUGUCUUCAGCUCUGCUCCUCUCUCGGGUCCCAGGCUGUGUCCCUCUGCGCGGCCCCAGCAGUGUGACACGCACUGUGGGGGAGUCCCUGGUCGUGUGGUGUCAGUAUGAGGAGAAAUACAAGAUGAAUGAAAAAUACUGGUGCAAACGGUCACUUGUUCUACUGUGCGAAAAUAUUAUCAAGACUGGAGUUUCAGAAGAAGCUAGGAAUGGCCAAGUGUCCAUCAGGGACCAUCCAGACAGCCUCAUCUUCACAGUGAUCUUUCAGAAACUCACCCUGGAGGAUACAGGGACCUAAAUGUGUGGGGUGGAUACACCAUUUACCGAUGACUCCUUGGGGAUUGGUAAGUU
Molecule: long non-coding RNA, 843 nt
Filed under: Rattus norvegicus (Norway rat)
Lineage: Eukaryota; Metazoa; Chordata; Mammalia; Rodentia; Muridae
Description: long non-coding RNA NONRATT033948
Source: RNAcentral